Molecule: ribosomal RNA, 228 nt
Filed under: uncultured bacterium
Lineage: Bacteria
Description: partial 16S ribosomal RNA
Rfam family: Bacterial small subunit ribosomal RNA
Source: RNAcentral
UACAGAGGGUGCAAGCGUUGUUCGGAAUUAUUGGGCGUAAAGGGCGCGUAGGCGGUGCCACAAGUCACCUCGUGAAAUCGUCCCGGGCUUAACUCGGAGCCUGCAGGCGAAACUGUGGUGCUGGAGUGUGGGAGAGGGUGCGUGGAAUUCCCGGUGUAGCGGUGAAAUGCGUCAGAGUAUCGGGAGGAACACCUGUGGCGAAAGCGGCGCACUGGACCAUAAACUGAC